GUGAAGAACGCAGCGAAAUGCGAUAAGUAAUGUGAAUUGCAGAAUUCAGUGAAUCAUCGAAUCUUUGAACGCACAUUGCGCCCCCUGGUAUUCCGGGGGGCAUGCCUGUUCGAGCGUCAUUUCACCACUCAAGCCUCGCUUGGUAUUGGGCAUCGCGGUCCGCCGCGCGCCUCAAAUCGACCGGCUGGGUCUUCUGUCCCCUAAGCGUUGUGGAAACUAUUCGCUAAAGGGUGUUCGGGAGGCUACGCCGUAAAACAACCCCAUUUCUAAGGUUGACCUCGGAUCAGGUAGGGAUACCCGCUGAACUUAAGCAUAUCAAUAAGCGGAGGA
RNAcentral lists this unclassified non-coding RNA (330 nucleotides) under soil metagenome. RNAcentral describes it as "partial contains 5.8S ribosomal RNA, internal transcribed spacer 2, and large subunit ribosomal RNA". The stretch from base 2 to 119 matches the Rfam family "5.8S ribosomal RNA", at positions 37 to 154 of the family's 154-position model. The record is from RNAcentral.